GACGAACGCUGGCGGCGUGCUUAACACAUGCAAGUCGAGGGGGCUGGGGUAACCCGGUCACCGGCGAACGGGUGCGGAACACGUGAGCGACCUGCCCGUCUGCGGGGGAUAGCCGGCCCAACGGCCGGGUAAUACCGCAUACGCACGCCUCUUCGGUGGGGCGUGGAAACCGAUUGAGGGCGGACGGAGGGGCUCGCGGCCUAUCAGCUAGUUGGGGGGGUAACGGCCUCCCAAGGCGAUGACGGGUAGCUGGUCUGAGAGGAUGGCCAGCCACAUUGGGACUGAGAGACGGCCCAGACUCCCACGGGAGGCAGCAGUGGGGAAUCUUGCGCAAUGGCCGACAGGCUGACGCAGCGACGCCGCGUGGAGGAUGAC
Molecule: ribosomal RNA, 375 nt
Filed under: uncultured Gemmatimonas sp.
Lineage: Bacteria; Pseudomonadati; Gemmatimonadota; Gemmatimonadia; Gemmatimonadales; Gemmatimonadaceae
Description: bacterial SSU rRNA
Rfam family: Bacterial small subunit ribosomal RNA
Source: RNAcentral